This is a small nuclear RNA of Pseudophryne corroboree (corroboree frog), 168 nucleotides long. RefSeq annotates it as U1 spliceosomal RNA. The transcript has a single exon. The record is from RefSeq and is a predicted model, not a curated record. NCBI's taxonomy places the organism in Eukaryota, Metazoa, Chordata, Amphibia, Anura, Myobatrachidae.
AUACUUAUUAUUUUGCAUAGGAGAUACCAUGGUCAUGAAGAUUACUCUCCCAGGGUGAGGUUCAUUCAUUGCAUUCUGGGUAUGCUGACCCCUGCGAUUUCCCCAAAUGUGGGAAACGCGACUGCUUUAUUUGUUGGUAGUGGGGGACUGUGUUUGUGUUUUCCUCUG